CACGUAGUUAGCCGUGGCUUUCUGGUUAGGUACCGUCAAGGUGCCGCCCUAUUUGAACGGCACUUGUUCUUCCCUAACAACAGAGCUUUACGAUCCGAAAACCUUCAUCACUCACGCGGCGUUGCUCCGUCAGACUUUCGUCCAUUGCGGAAGAUUCCCUACUGCUGCCUCCCGUAGGAGUCUGGGCCGUGUCUCAGUCCCAGUGUGGCCGAUCACCCUCUCAGGUCGGCUACGCAUCGUCGCCUUGGUGAGCCGUUACCUCACCAACUAGCUAAUGCGCCGCGGGUCCAUCUGUAAGUGGUAGCCGAAGCCACCUUUUAUGUCUGAACCAUGCGGUUCAGACAACCAUCCGGUAUUAGCCCCGGUUUCCCGGAGUUAUCCCAGUCUUACAGGCAGGUUACCCACGUGUUACUCACCCGUCCGCCGCUAACAUCAGGGAGCAAGCUCCCAUCCUGUCCGCUCGACUUGCAUGUAUUAGGCACGCCCGCCAGCCGUUCGUCCUGAGCCAGGAUCAAA
RNAcentral lists this ribosomal RNA (516 nucleotides) under uncultured Bacillus sp. RNAcentral describes it as "partial 16S ribosomal RNA". The record is from RNAcentral. Lineage: Bacteria; Bacillati; Bacillota; Bacilli; Caryophanales; Bacillaceae.